AGAAACAUCAAGAAGGCUACGAGGCAACAUCAAUGAGUGAUAAAGGAUCCGACAAUUCAGGCCCAGGGAGCAAGGAGGCUAUUUAGCAGCCACCUGGCAGCACAACUUUGGGGCUGCAGACUCCCCAUGUAGGGAGAGAGGAAAGAAGAGUGAUCAACCUUCUGAGUUACGCUGUUCUCUUAGGAGGACCUCUUCAGGCCCUUCCAGCCGGCUGUCACUAGGAUGUAUUUUGGGUCUUUCAUGAGUGCCCUUGUCCAGAUUUCUGUCUGGGAAUAUCAGGGUUUUUUCAUCUGCAGGAGUAAUUCUAGGAACUCCCCUGAAAAGGAAAUGAAGUUGAUUCAUCUGGAGAAUGAAGGAAGGCUUUGUUUUUAUGUGUAGAGUAAACGUCUUGCAAGAAAAACCACCUUGGAAGGGGCAUUCUGUCGAUUGAUGGAAAGGGAAAAUGCCUCUUUCAGCUGCUAUUUCGAAAGUGUGCCUUGAGAUUUCUUCCAGAAAAAUAGUUAAUUUUUUAAAAAAUUAAUGUGUUGCCCAAUUAAUUGGAUUAUAUAUUUGAUUAUUCAAAAGUUUAACAAAUAACCAAUAUACUAACUGAGGGCAGCCUUCAGACACAGAAAAUGGUACACCUUUUCUACAACUCAGUUAAUGGAUUUAAUAAUUUAGAAAAAUGGAAGAUGACAUCAGCUGUGCAGCCAGGCUGCUUCCUUCCUAAGUGCUGCAGUUUCCUUGAGAUUUUGGGGGAUGGUUUUGAUUCAUCAAAUUAAUUGUUCGGUUUUGCCCAGUCAAGAAAGCAAAUAAUGUCUCUUUGAAACUGUGGUUACCUAUAAAAAAAAAUUAAUAUGCAUUCAAGUAUUUCUUACCCUCUUUUAAUAACUGUGAUGGCUAAGUCACUUGUAGUUUUGCUUUAUAUAACAUUUCUUUACACACAUAUUGUAAGAUUGCCAAAAUUGCUUACUGAGAAUAAAUGAUUUUGUUUUCCUCUCACCUCAGUUGCUGCCUGUUUUGGGAGGUUGGAAAUAGGGGGGAUUUGACCCACCUUGUUGAUCAGAGACCCUGAUUUCACUUUGAGUGGUAGGAAGGGGGGAGCCAAGGCGAACUUGGAAGGAGGGAGAACUGGAGUGGCUCCUGUCUGCUCCUUUGAGGAGGCGGCAGACAUUUUGCUUCUGUGUCCAGGUGCUUCUGUAGCACCAACUGAUCU
Molecule: non-coding RNA, 1195 nt
Organism: Python bivittatus (Burmese python)
Lineage: Eukaryota; Metazoa; Chordata; Lepidosauria; Squamata; Pythonidae
Source: RefSeq, a predicted model, not a curated record